UAAGACAGAGGUGCCGAGCGUUAGGCGGAAUCACUGGGCUUAAAGCGUGUGUAGGCGGACCCGUCAGUGUCUUGUGAAAUCCCACGGCUCAACCGUGGAACGGCUGGGCAUACUGCGGGUCUUGAGACACCUAGGGGCGAGCGGAACAGGCGGUGGAGCGGUGAAAUGCGUAGAUAUCGCCUGGAACGCCGACGGUGAAAACAGCUCGCUGGGGGUGUUCUGACGCUGAGACACGAAAGCCAGGGGAGCGAACGGGAUUAGAUACCCCGGUAGUCCUGGCCCUAAACGAUGUCCACUAGGUCGCGGCCGGUUUUGACGCCGGUCGCGGCCGAAGCAAAAGUGCUAAGUGGACCGCCUGGGAAGUACGGUCGCAAGGCUA
Molecule: ribosomal RNA, 379 nt
Filed under: uncultured bacterium
Lineage: Bacteria
Description: bacterial SSU rRNA
Rfam family: Bacterial small subunit ribosomal RNA
Source: RNAcentral